UGGCGAAUGAAGAAGGAUAAGCUCCAUUGGUAAUCUGCACUUCAUGUGUAGACUUGUAUUUUUAAAAAGCAAUGCUAUUGGAAGUGUGUAUGUAAGACAUGUGGGAAAAUGUUGCAAAGAAGGUGAAACUCUUGUGUGUCAUGCGCAAGCUUUCAUGCAAAGCAUGCUUUUGAAAAUCGCAUUCUUUGGAAUUGGAAUGCAAAGUAGGUGGUAAAGUUCACUUGAAGCUAAAUAAAUGUUUGAGCUUGAUAGUGUAUAAGUACCAUGAGGGAACUGUGAAAAGAACUUUGGAAAGAAAGUUAAAAGUAUUUGAAAUUGCUGGUGGGAAAGCAAAUGGUAUGAUACUGUGCAGUAAGAUUGCAGCUUGCAAGCAAUAGGCAUUCUGUAUGCAAUGCGUGUAGAAUUGUCUGUUGCAAGCACACUGUGCAUCUUGCUGUGCAUGCCAACAUUGAAAUGCAUGUCAAUGCUAACUGCAUGGGUAACUUGCAUAGUGUGUGCUAGAGCCAUGCCUUGAUAUAGCAUGCAUUUUCUUUUCAGUUGUUACCUGGUCUGGACUUCUUAAGGAUAGACCUGGUUCAAUGCAUGCAUGUGAUUAUUCAUUUGGCCCGUCUUGAAACACGGAUCAAGGAGUCUAACACAUGUGCAAGCCUGUUGGUAAUUCGUUGGGGUGUAAGGAAAGUGACAGCUAGGAUGUGUGCACUGUCAGCCAACUGACCAAUUGUGAGAGGUUUGUGUUUGAGCAUUUGUAUUAGGACCCGAAAGAUGGUGAACUAUGCUUGAAUAAUGCAAAUUCAGGAGAAAUUCUGAAGGAAGCUUGCAGCGGUACUGACGUGCAAAUCGUUCGUCAAAUUUG
This 853-nucleotide ribosomal RNA is filed under the name Gonyaulax whaseongensis. RNAcentral describes it as "partial large subunit ribosomal RNA". It matches the Rfam family "Eukaryotic large subunit ribosomal RNA", at positions 87 to 913 of the family's 3401-position model. Lineage: Eukaryota; Dinophyceae; Gonyaulacales; Gonyaulacaceae. The record is from RNAcentral.